UCAAUCCCCAUACCCCACAUUUACACAAUCCCCUUUAAAAAUGACAAUUGUACCUUUAAAUAAUUUAAAGUGUGUAAUUAAUUAUUCUUUAAACCUCGUUUAGAUUCUGUGAACGUGCUAACAUGUAUCAAAAGCCUGGAUCAAAUCAACAACCAACUAUGAGAGGUCCCAUGCAUGUUCUUGUGGUCAUCGCAUAACCCUGUCGUUUCCUUGACUCGACAACUCCAGCUAGAUUUUCAUAAGAUGACUGGCCACCACAACUCAGUGUCUCUCUAGCACUUGCCUCCAGUUCUUUAUCCCUUCUCCUCAUCUUCCCAGCACCACCGUCUCUCUUCCUUGAGUCCUUCCUCCACCACCGGUAUUUUCACUGCCACCCCUAUCUCAUUGCUUAACAUCAUCGCAUUCAUCAAAGCACAGGUUAGAUGAACACAGAUUCUCAAUUUCUAUAUCAUGAUCACCGCGGUAGAUCUUGCUGUUUGACCUCCAUUAUCGAAUACAACAACCUUGUCAUAUCAAACUGACUACUGUGCUACCCCCCUCACCUCCGACGUCCGACCACAGUCCCUCAAGACAAGAAAAAAGCUCAUAAUCAAAUUACUCAUCGGCAUCUUUAUCAAGCAGUCGGAUUGAUUAACAAUGUGCUUCAUUUGCUUAUUCAUUACGAAUUACUGAAUCUUUAUGGAUAAUAGGUGGGUAUGUCCGUUGUAUCCAUGGUGCUCUAAGAGUUCAAGGUCACUAUAGCGCUUUCAGUAGGGAUUGCAGAUCAAAGCCUGAAGCAAUGGAUAACUGUUGAACCGGAAUAAAAAAAUCUUGGAAUUUGUGCCUGAACUUGAGUUCUUGCUCAUGGAUUCUGAUGAGCCUUUUUGUAUGGACAAACUAACACAACCUAUGAUAAUUUAUGAAACUCCCGGUUAGCUUUGCUUAUGAACAAACAAUUUGCCAUAAAAAAAUCUAAGAAAAUACAUGAGAAUUCCAACAAAUCGAUUUAAAUUUUGCGGAUUCAACGAUAUAGGAAAGCAUUGAAAGCUCUGAAACCGCUAGUGAAGCUCUGAGCAGUUGUGAGAGGUUAGCUAGUGAGGAAAUUAAGAAGCAACUGAGACUUGCACGACAUGGAGGCGUUGUUCAGAGCGUCUAACGGAUAUAACGACCCAAGGACCACUGGUGGUAGAAGAUCGAACCUAAAGGACGAUUUAUGCAAAGAAAAAAACUUGUACUUAUUUUUCUACGAACCAUAGGGACCAUAUAUAUAAUUUAGUCUUGAAGAUAUUUAAGGUUUUCUUGACAGCACCAUAGAAUCAAAUACUUGAGAUUUGAUAACAGACAAUAUCACUGUACACACGCUAUGCACAAGCUGUUUCCUUUUUAGAUGAUAAUCACUAUCGAUACAAAAACAAGAUAUUUAUUUAUAUUCUUUUAGCAUAUGAGUAUAUAUAUUUUACUAAAUCACCUCAUACUUUAAGAAAUAGUGCUUUAUGUAAUAAGAAAAUAACGAUAUGAUCCUAAAUGAAGAUGAUGAUAUACUAGAUGGGGCUUUGGCAAAAAGAAGAAAAACACAUUCUUUGUAUUAUUUUUGACGAUGAGUGAUAACCGUUAAUUUCAGCCUUUCAAACUCCCCAAACUUUCGAUCUCAACCGUCAUAACUCGCUAGUUACAGUUUUUGACGUUUCUCUUCCUCAAUUCAAAGCUCCACAUUCUUCUCCAUGUGUCUUCUGCACGAUCGAUUCUUUGCUAUAGUUAAUCGGAAGUUACUUCCUCAGUCAUUCACUUCUCAACCGUAAGCUCUAAUCCUUCAACUUCCCUCCUACAAUCAAUCGUUUGUCUCAGAAAGCGUUGAUCCCCAUCACGAUCUCCUCCUUCCCCUCUUCUAUAUGUACCAAGGGAAACCGAUGAUCAACUGAAAAAGAGAGAAUGGUUGCUUCUAUUACUACGACAAUUUGAGAAAGAUGGAGCCCUCUUCCCACAAUUUCAGUGAGUUUUUUGUACGUCGUUCUAAUUUUAAUUUUGUUUCAUUGAAUUUCGGCUUGUAUGCUGUGGAUUAUUGAAUAUUUAUGGAAACUUUGAUUAUGAUUUCGUGAUUUCAUAAGAUUAAAUGUUUUAGAUGACUAAAAAGUGUGCGAUUGUAGAGUGAGAGUGAGAUAGAAUCAACAUUACAUCGUCGUUGUAUCGAUUUAGGAACCAAGAAGCAGUAAAAUCAGAUAAUUAAUACAUAGUGGAGGAAAAAUACGAGACAACGGCUUUGGAUAUUGGAGAAGAUGAUGAGAUAUUGACGAUUGUGGAUUUGAUUUUUCACAUGGUAUCUCUCUGAACUUCUGUCACAUUAUCUUUGAGCAUUGGAGAAGACAAUGUCUCUAGAUUUUGGAGAAGACGACAACUCAUGCUUUCUUUGAUUUAGCAAAGCCCUAGGCUCAUGUAUGGUCGAUAAUGGUCAGAUAGACUUACGAGAUAUUCUUCAAAGUUUCAGUUUAACUUUAACUGUGUCCCAUUUCCGAAAGGUAUCGUUAUCCAAUUGAUAUUUUUGUAGUUUAUCCACAUAGACAUGAAUGUGUUUUUUUCAUGAAGGAUAAGUAAUGAUUCCCUUUGCACUAAAACAUGGUACCUGGACUAGAUUUACAGUAGUGUAAUUGAUAAGCUCAUGUUUUCUUGAUUUUCACAUAUAUUAAUUUCUUGCCAUUAGAGGGAGUUAUCUACAUCUCUUCAUUUGAUGUUAUAAGUGAUGACCUUAGAGAUAUCCCAUAUGAUGAGAUUAUAUUCUUAGUAAAAGACAUGGUAGAUUAUAACUUAUCUGCUUAAAAGUUACUACCAUAAGGAUCAUAAUCAAUAAUAUCUUUUAUAAGAUCUCUGGUUAAAUAAAUUUGGAUUAUGCAACAACUUGCUAAGACAUUGGCUUAAUGUUUGUCCAUAGUUUCUUUUAAUAUGAUUUUCUUGGUUCUUAAUGUGUUUUGUUAGAAUUUAUAGGUCCUUGAUAUAGUAUUGAAGAAGGUUGUUAAAGAUCUUUCUUCACUGCUUAUUUCUUAAGAAAAUCAGGUAAAUUCUUUGAACCGAGUUGUGUCUCAGAGGGCCAUUUAUUUUACCUAGCUUUAUUUACAAUUGAUAGUAGGACUACUAUAAAUUUUACCAUGUACACUACUUACCAGGUUAUGAUUGCAACUGUUAAUAUUUGUUAAUAUGUUAUGUAGUUUUGUGUUUCUUUCUCCUA
Molecule: non-coding RNA, 3196 nt
Organism: Lactuca sativa (garden lettuce)
Lineage: Eukaryota; Viridiplantae; Streptophyta; Magnoliopsida; Asterales; Asteraceae
Source: RefSeq, a predicted model, not a curated record